CUGGCGGCGUGCCUAAUACAUGCAAGUCGAACGGUCCUUUCUAUGGAAGCUUGCUUCCACUGAGAAGAUAGUGGCGAACGGGUGAGUAACACGUGGGUAACCUGCCCAUAAGAGGGGGGAUAACAUCCGGAAACGGGUGCUAAUACCGCAUAGUUUUCUUGAUCGCAUGAUCGGGAAAGGAAAGACGGCCUUUGUGCUGUCGCUUAUGGAUGGACCCGCGGCGUAUUAGUUAGUUGGUGAGGUAACGGCUCACCAAGACGAUGAUACGUAGCCGACCUGAGAGGGUGAUCGGCCACAUUGGGACUGAGACACGGCCCAAACUCCUACGGGAGGCAGCAGUAGGGAAUCUUCCGCAAUGGACGAAAGUCUGACGGAGCAACGCCGCGUGAGUGAAGAAAAGGGUUUUCGGAUCGUAAAACUCUGUUGUCAGAGAAGAACAAGUUGGAGAGUAACUGCUCCAGCCUUGACGGUAUCUGACCAGAAAGCCACGGCUAACUACGUGCCAGCAGCCGC
This 513-nucleotide ribosomal RNA is filed under the name uncultured bacterium. Its description in RNAcentral is "bacterial SSU rRNA". It matches the Rfam family "Bacterial small subunit ribosomal RNA", at positions 36 to 518 of the family's 1533-position model. The record is from RNAcentral.